RNAcentral lists this RNase P RNA (344 nucleotides) under Clostridiaceae bacterium. Its description in RNAcentral is "RNase P RNA component class A". It matches the Rfam family "Bacterial RNase P class A". From Rfam's summary of the family: Ribonuclease P (RNase P) is a ubiquitous endoribonuclease, found in archaea, bacteria and eukarya as well as chloroplasts and mitochondria. Its best characterised activity is the generation of mature 5'-ends of tRNAs by cleaving the 5'-leader elements of precursor-tRNAs. Cellular RNase Ps are ribonucleoproteins. The record is from RNAcentral. Lineage: Bacteria; Bacillati; Bacillota; Clostridia; Eubacteriales; Clostridiaceae.
UGAGUAGGUCGGACAGUCGCGUGUAUAAGCUGAAAAGCUGUACAUGAGGAAAGUCCGGGCUCCGUAGGGCAAGGUGCCGGGUAACCCCCGGUGAAGGCGACUUCAAGGAAAGUGCAUAGAAAAUAACCGCCUGACUUUAUGUCAGGUAAGGGUGGAAAGGUGAGGUAAGAGCUCACCAGCGGUCAGGCGACUGGCCGGCUUAGAAAACCCCACCUGGAGCAACACCGCGAUAGGGAGUUAAGGUGGCCCGCCGUUCCCUGGCAGGUGGCUUGAGCUGUGCAGUAAUGCAUGGCCUAGAUAGAUGACUGUUAAAACAGAACCCGGCUUAUGGACUUACUCAUAUU